This 466-nucleotide ribosomal RNA is filed under the name uncultured bacterium. Its description in RNAcentral is "partial 16S ribosomal RNA". It matches the Rfam family "Bacterial small subunit ribosomal RNA", at positions 28 to 507 of the family's 1533-position model. The record is from RNAcentral.
GAUGAACGCUGGCGGCGUGCUUAACACAUGCCAGUCGAACGAUGAAGCCCAGCUUGCUGGGUGGAUUAGUGGCGAACGGGUGAGUAACACGUGAGUAACCUGCCCUUGACUCUGGGAUAAGCCUGGGAAACUGGGUCUAAUACUGGAUAUGACUUCUCAUCGCAUGGUGGGGGGUGGAAAGAUUUAUUGGUCUUGGAUGGACUCGCGGCCUAUCAGCUUGUUGGUGAGGUAAUGGCUCACCAAGGCGACGACGGGUAGCCGGCCUGAGAGGGUGACCGGCCACACUGGGACUGAGACACGGCCCAGACUCCUACGGGAGGCAGCAGUGGGGAAUAUUGCACAAUGGGCGCAAGCCUGAUGCAGCGACGCCGCGUGAGGGAUGACGGCCUUCGGGUUGUAAACCUCUUUCAGUAGGGAAGAAGCGAGAGUGACGGUACCUGCAGAAGAAACGCCGGCUAACUACGUG